UGAGUAUCCAAUUAGUGCACUGUUGAAAAACCUUGAAGGAUGAAAGUACUGAAAAAAAACCCCCAUGAUUUUAAGUGCUAUUAUGUAACAUACAAUUAAGAUAAUUUGCCUUAUCAGCAAUCUAUAUGUCAUAAUGUUAUAUGGUUUCAAUUUUUGCAAACUUCAUGCUGGAAAGGUUUUACAAAUAGAUGUUAUAGGUGGAAACAGAAAGUUAAGUUUGCAUGCAUUUAUUUUUCAACAAUGUUAGAAUUAAUUAGAGAGAGAAAUGAAGCAUUGCAUAGCAUUUAUAUACUUGCUAUUGUUUAUAGAUUUUGCAAGGAUAGGUGUGAUACCUCUAGCUGUAUGCCUGUAUCUAUUAAUAGUUUUUUGAUCUCCUCUGCAAAUCUUCUUUGGAGAGUGGAGACCUAUCUUUAGGGGGGAAGACAUGGGUUUGUUAAAGUUGUCAUCGUCAAUAAUGAUAAUUUUAAAGUUCCUUGUCCUUCGUCUUCCACUGAAGCUUCUGCAGAAGAAAUUAUCACUUCAAGUUAUUUUUUGGUCUGAUCUUAUAUGUGCAAAAGUUUGUUUAAUAUAGUUAACUACGCAAUUAGUCAAAUGACAAUGCUCAUCGGGUAAACCAUAAGCAUGUGGAUGAGAAGCCCCU
Molecule: unclassified non-coding RNA, 640 nt
Filed under: Hevea brasiliensis (rubber tree)
Lineage: Eukaryota; Viridiplantae; Streptophyta; Magnoliopsida; Malpighiales; Euphorbiaceae
Source: RNAcentral